Molecule: ribosomal RNA, 253 nt
Filed under: uncultured bacterium
Lineage: Bacteria
Description: partial 16S ribosomal RNA
Rfam family: Bacterial small subunit ribosomal RNA
Source: RNAcentral
UACAGAGGGUGCAAGCGUUAAUCGGAAUUACUGGGCGUAAAGCGUGCGCAGGCGGCUUUGCAAGACAGAUGUGAAAUCCCCGGGCUCAACCUGGGAACUGCAUUUGUGACUGCAAGGCUAGAGUACGGUAGAGGGGGAUGGAAUUCCGCGUGUAGCAGUGAAAUGCGUAGAUAUACGGAGGAACACCAGCGGCGAAGGCGGGUAGCUGGGCCAACACUGACGCUGAUGUGCGAAAGCUAGGGGAGCAAACGGG